Quercus robur (English oak) is the source of this 362-nucleotide long non-coding RNA. RefSeq lists it as uncharacterized. The transcript has 2 exons. Lineage: Eukaryota; Viridiplantae; Streptophyta; Magnoliopsida; Fagales; Fagaceae. The record is from RefSeq and is a predicted model, not a curated record.
GUGGAGUUAGUGGAUUCUGCACACUCUCAAGGAGUUGUCUUAAAUGACUUACGGCCAUCUUGUUUCUUUUUACUGCAAUCAAGUAGAGUUAAAUACACUGGUUCUUCUACUUGAUGUGAGAGAAUUAGAGGGUGUGAUGUGUCAAGAAUCAUUUCGGAAAAGGCCAUUGGAACAAAAUGAGCAUGCCUACCUUAGUUUGGGUGCAAAGCAGCGAAGAAUAUAACCCCAAGUUCUGGUAAUGAAAUUUUAGGACGAUUUGAAAUUCUGGGUUUUGUGAAUUUUUCAAGAAAGCAGUGUGUGAGGCGGCUCCAACUAAGAAAGCAGACUCAGCUGCAAAGAGGGCUCGUCAAGCUGAGAAAAGG